CUGUUACGUAGAAAUCAUUUCAUCUCUUUGUUCUUUGGUGCCCUUCACCCCUAGCUCCCAAGGUUUCAGCUGGAAACAGUCGUGAAAACCAUCACAAAAUCCACGUGUUCUACAAAUGUUGAUAGUUGAUAAGCGUUUCCCCCGUGACAGGUCUGGCACCAGGGCUGCGGGGUCGAUGAAUGGGACUUGCUCUUUGGGUCCUACUGGGUGGGGGAAGAUGCACGAUGCAGGGCUGCCCACUGAGGUCAGGCCCUAAUGUCUCGAGUCUUGGUGGCAGGAAACAGUGACAGCUCAGGCAGAUUUUCUGACUUUCUAGAGGUGGUGGCUUAAUUCACCUUUCAAGGACACACAGCUCUUUGUCUUGGGAAAAUAACUGUAAUGGGCUCUUUGCUUAUGUGAAGGGAAAGCAAAUAUACUCUGCGGCAGAAAAGCACGAGUCAGCGAGGAGCUAAAUUGCUCCGCAUAAUGAGGUAAAUGGCUGCCUCCCUCGGGGUAGAAUCGCAUCCUCGUUGAUUAUGUUUUCUCUAGGAAAUUUCUCCCAAAUAUGGAUUUAAGCUGCAGUUUCUGGAAGUGGCUGUUUGUUCUUAAAGGAGAGAGACCUCCAGCUUUGCAUGGGCACCACGUUCCUUGCAAGGAGAGGCCUCUGUCAACUCAAGGCUGUUGAACCGAGGCUCCCAGCUGCAUGGUCUCAGGCCUCUGCAGGGGUCUCGCCAGGUGGGAUGGCUUGGUGGGAAUCCAGCAUGCCCCCUCCCACCGCAACACCAAACCAAUGGAAGAGAGAAAGAAGGGUGCAGUGGAAGCCAACACCCAAUGGACUUCUACCAAGUGGGACUACCGCAGGGCAAGGCGGUUUGAGCCAGAGGACUGGGGGUGCUUUUCCCCUCACUGGUCUCGCCGACGUCCAUCUUCAGGACGUGUGACGUGGCCACAUUUGCUUGGCUUGGACGGCGUCAUAGCUUUGCCCUGAAGACUGGGGUGCCCGUCAGCGUCGGCCAUCGCCCUGGCCAAGGAGCGAUCCAUCUCACCACAGCUGGAUUCGAGAGCCACCCGCAGCCUUCCCCUUGUGCCCCAAGUCAAGGCCUCCAGAACCUUCCUCAUCAGCAGCUCCUGCAGAGACCUGGUCACCCAGCGAACACCAGGACCUCAUCCUGUCCACAGAUGUCCCUGCCUGCACACAGCACCCCCAGGAGGUGGGGAGCAUGACCCAGGCUGGCUGCAGCCUCCUGGCUGCCAGGGGGAGCCCAGGGGCAGGCUGUGCACGGGAGACCCCGGCCCGCUGGCAGUCGGGGCUGGACUGUCUCAUCUCCAGCCUCAGCUCUGGUCUCUGGGGACCCGCCCAGGGCUCACCUCAGCCCUCUCCCAAGUACGUGUGGGUCCAAGGAGAGCAGAAGUGAGGCCUCUCCCGUUCCCGGGCUCUGCCUUCGACACGCUCCAUCUCUUCUUCCACCUCCAACUCGGGGUCCAGAACGACCCUGGCAGCUCGGGGUCCUGGGGUAGAGCAGAAAAGGUCUCCGGGAGGGGCUUCCUCACCUGCGCCGCCUGCGUGAAGCCAGCUCCCUGGGCUGUCCACCAUCCUGCCCUGAGCUGCCCAUAGGCCACACUCAGCCGAUAGUCCAGAGGCCCCCAGCCCUUCUCGCCUGUCCCUGCAGAGGGGGCCCCUGAGGUCAGAGGGCAGAGCCCAGACGCUGUGCUGGUCAAGCUUCAGCUUUCCCUCUGGAGUUGAUACGUGCUGUUGGCCUUGGUUUGAAACAGACCAUCUGCUCCCACCGGUCAGGGGGGCCGUCCCUGUGAGGCAGUGCUGGCAUUAAAGGGGCAGCCGGCCAGCAGGGCCACGACGGGAUGCCAAGUGACCUUGGGGCCUUGGUGUCCACCCGCUGGGAGCAGGUGCCCACAGGGCCCUGCUGGGGAAGGCUGGGGUCUGCACGGCCUCCAGGACCCCCCAGCCAUUUCAGCUGCUCACAGUUCCCUGACUGCGCAGCUGGGAUGGGAGAGAGGCACAUCCUAUCGUCUCGUUGCCACCACGUCCCUGAAG
This 2032-nucleotide long non-coding RNA is filed under the name Equus caballus (horse). Its description in RNAcentral is "lncRNA (ENSECAG00000043543.2)". Lineage: Eukaryota; Metazoa; Chordata; Mammalia; Perissodactyla; Equidae. The record is from RNAcentral.